This 459-nucleotide ribosomal RNA is filed under the name uncultured bacterium. Its description in RNAcentral is "partial 16S ribosomal RNA". It matches the Rfam family "Bacterial small subunit ribosomal RNA", at positions 338 to 795 of the family's 1533-position model. The record is from RNAcentral.
CCUACGGGAGACAGCAGUGAGGAAUAUUGGUCAAUGGUCGGGAGACUGAACCAGCCAAGCCGCGUGAGGGAUGAAGGUACAGAGUAUCGUAAACCUCUUUUGUCAGGGAACAAAGGCGGGGACGUGUCCCCGGAUGAGUGUACCUGAAGAAAAAGCAUCGGCUAACUCCGUGCCAGCAGCCGCGGUAAUACGGAGGAUGCGAGCGUUAUCCGGAUUUAUUGGGUUUAACGGGUGCGCAGGCGGUCUGUUAAGUCAGCGGUAAAAGCCCGGGGCUCAACCCCGACCCGCCGUUGAAACUGGCAGUCUCGAGUUGGAGAGAAGUAUGCGGAAUGCGCGGGGUAGCGGUGAAAUGCAUAGAUAUCGCGCAGAACUCCGAUUGCGAAGGCAGCAUGCCGGCUCCACACUGACGCUGAGGCACGAAAGCGUGGGUAUCGAACAGGAUUAGAUACCCCUGUAGUC